UUAACGCUGGCGGCGUGCAUAACACAUGCAAGUCGAACGAUGAAGAUUAUUAGACUUCUUCGGAAUGAAAAUAAUUGGAUUAGUAGCGGACGGGUGAGUAACGCGUGAGUAACCUGCCUUACACAAGGGGAUAGCCGUUGGAAACGACGAAUAAUACCCUAUGAAACUAUCACUUCGCAUGAAGCGAUAGUCAAAGUGUUAGCGGUGUAAGAUGGACUUGCGUCUGAUUAGCUAGUUGGUGAGAAAAAAGCCCACCAAGGCAACGAUCAGUAGCCGGCUUGAGAGAGUGUACGGCCACAUUGGGACUGAGACACGGCCCAGACUCCUACGGGAGGCAGCAGUGGGGAAUUUUGCACAAUGGGGGAAACCCUGAUGCAGCGACGCCGCGUGAUUUAGAAGGCCUUCGGGUUGUAAAAAUCUUUUGUAUAGGAAGAAAAUGACAGUACUAUACGAAUAAAGUCCGGCUAAUUACGU
Molecule: ribosomal RNA, 474 nt
Filed under: uncultured bacterium
Lineage: Bacteria
Description: partial 16S ribosomal RNA
Rfam family: Bacterial small subunit ribosomal RNA
Source: RNAcentral